RNAcentral lists this unclassified non-coding RNA (305 nucleotides) under plant metagenome. RNAcentral describes it as "partial contains 5.8S ribosomal RNA, internal transcribed spacer 2, and large subunit ribosomal RNA". The stretch from base 1 to 105 matches the Rfam family "5.8S ribosomal RNA", at positions 50 to 154 of the family's 154-position model. The record is from RNAcentral.
GAAAUGCGAUAAGUAGUGUGAAUUGCAGAAUUCAGUGAAUCAUCGAAUCUUUGAACGCACAUUGCGCCCCUUGGUAUUCCAUGGGGCAUGCCUGUUCGAGCGUCAUUUGUAACCUCAAGCUCAGCUUGGUGUUGGGUGUCUGUCCCCGCCCCGCGCGGGGACUCGCCUCAAAAACAUUGGCGGCCGGUACGUUGGCUUCGAGCGCAGCAGAAACGCGAACUCGAGGCCCGACGGAUCGGCGACCAGAAGUCACUUCUUCCACAGCUUGACCUCGGAUCAGGUAGGGAUACCCGCUGAACUUAAGC